UUUGCCCUACCGUGUGCGUGGUCAAUCUGACAAUGUUAUGAGCCAACACCAUAACAUUGGGAGCCUGUACUCUGGUUGUGGCGUGCAUGCCUUUUGGUAAGGACGCAUAAAGCAACUAGGAGGGCACCCACCUGCCUAGGCAGGUUCAUUAACAGUCAGGAAUAGCGGCAUGGUGGGGAUCUU
Molecule: non-coding RNA, 183 nt
Filed under: Bacillota bacterium
Lineage: Bacteria; Bacillati; Bacillota
Description: Firmicutes bacterium (anaerobic digester metagenome) 6S RNA
Rfam family: 6S / SsrS RNA
About the family: E. coli 6S RNA was the first non coding RNA to be sequenced, but its function was unknown until recently. It consists of 184 nucleotides that fold into an extended hairpin structure with a large single-stranded internal bulge. The 6S RNA specifically associates with RNA polymerase holoenzyme containing the sigma70 specificity factor.
Source: RNAcentral